UACGGGAGGCAGCAGUGGGGAAUAUUGGACAAUGGGCGCAAGCCUGAUCCGGCAAUGCCGCGUGAGUGAUGAAGGCCUUCGGGUUGUAAAGCUCUUUCGCACGCGACGAUGAUGACGGUAGCGUGAGAAGAAGCCCCGGCUAACUUCGUGCCAGCAGCCGCGGUAAUACGAAGGGGGCUAGCGUUGUUCGGAAUUACUGGGCGUAAAGGGCGCGUAGGCGGUACUUCAAGUCAGGCGUGAAAGCCCCGGGCUCAACCUGGGAACCGCGCUUGAGACUGGAGAACUAGAGUUCGGGAGAGGAUGGUGGAAUUCCCAGUGUAGAGGUGAAAUUCGUAGAUAUUGGGAAGAACACCGAUGGCGAAGGCAGCCAUCUGGACCGACACUGACGCUGAGGCGCGAAAGC
This 403-nucleotide ribosomal RNA is filed under the name uncultured Alphaproteobacteria bacterium. RNAcentral's name for it is "bacterial SSU rRNA". It matches the Rfam family "Bacterial small subunit ribosomal RNA", at positions 340 to 760 of the family's 1533-position model. The record is from RNAcentral. Lineage: Bacteria; Pseudomonadati; Pseudomonadota; Alphaproteobacteria.